RNAcentral lists this ribosomal RNA (253 nucleotides) under uncultured bacterium. RNAcentral's name for it is "partial 16S ribosomal RNA". It matches the Rfam family "Bacterial small subunit ribosomal RNA", at positions 524 to 776 of the family's 1533-position model. The record is from RNAcentral.
UACGUAGGGACCAAGCGUUGUUCGGAUUUACUGGGCGUAAAGGGCGCGUAGGCGGCGAAUCAAGUCAGCUGUGAAAUCUCCGAGCUUAACUCGGAACGGUCAGCUGAUACUGUUUUGCUAGAGUGCAGAAAGGGCAACCGGAAUUCUUGGUGUAGCGGUGAAAUGCGUAGAUAUCAGGAGGAACACCGGUGGCGAAGGCGGUUCUCUGGGCCUUACCUGACGCUGAGGAGCGAAAGCGUGGGGAGCAAACAGG